This 636-nucleotide ribosomal RNA is filed under the name uncultured Arcobacter sp. RNAcentral describes it as "bacterial SSU rRNA". It matches the Rfam family "Bacterial small subunit ribosomal RNA", at positions 897 to 1533 of the family's 1533-position model. Lineage: Bacteria; Pseudomonadati; Campylobacterota; Epsilonproteobacteria; Campylobacterales; Arcobacteraceae. The record is from RNAcentral.
AAACUUAAAGGAAUUGACGGGGACCCGCACAAGCGGUGGAGCAUGUGGUUUAAUUCGACGAUACACGAAGAACCUUACCUGGACUUGACAUAGUAAGAACUUUCUAGAGAUAGAUUGGUGUCUGCUUGCAGAAACUUAUAUACAGGUGCUGCACGGCUGUCGUCAGCUCGUGUCGUGAGAUGUUGGGUUAAGUCCCGCAACGAGCGCAACCCUCGUCAUUAGUUGCUAACAGUUCGGCUGAGAACUCUAAUGAGACUGCCUACGCAAGUAGGAGGAAGGUGAGGACGACGUCAAGUCAUCAUGGCCCUUACGUCCAGGGCUACACACGUGCUACAAUGGGGUAUACAAAGAGCAGCAAUACAGUGAUGUGGAGCAAAUCUCAAAAAUAUCUCCCAGUUCGGAUUGUAGUCUGCAACUCGACUACAUGAAGUUGGAAUCGCUAGUAAUCGUAGAUCAGCUAUGCUACGGUGAAUACGUUCCCGGGUCUUGUACUCACCGCCCGUCACACCAUGGGAGUUGAACUCAUUCGAAGCGGGGAUGCUAAAGUAGCUACCUUCCACAGUGGAUUCAGCGACUGGGGUGAAGUCGUAACAAGGUAACCGUAGGAGAACCUGCGGUUGGAUCACCUCCUUUCUG